UAAACUAGGAUUAGAUACCCUAUUAUUUGAAAUGUAAAUUUGUUAUACUAAAUUAGUAUUAGUUAUGUUCUUGAAAAUUAAAAAAUUUGGCGGUAUUUUAGUCUUUUCAGAGGAACCUGUUCUGUAAUUGAUAGUCCACGAUUAAAUGUACUUUAUUUUUUAGUUUACAUAUCGUUGUAGUUAGAAUAUUUUAAUAGAAUAUAAAUAUUCAAGAUUUUUUAUUAAAAAAUAAAUCAAAUCAAGGUGUAGUUUAUAAUAAAGUAGAAAUGGGUUACAAUAAAUAUAUUUUAGGAUAAUUUUUAUUACAAGGAUUUGAAUAUGGAUUUGAAAGUAAUUUUUAUAUAUUUUUAACAUGAUUAUAGCUCUAAAAUAUGCACACAUCGCCCGUCGCUCUUAA
RNAcentral lists this ribosomal RNA (397 nucleotides) under Acanthoscelides guazumae. Its description in RNAcentral is "partial 12S small subunit ribosomal RNA". The record is from RNAcentral. Lineage: Eukaryota; Metazoa; Arthropoda; Insecta; Coleoptera; Chrysomelidae.